RNAcentral lists this ribosomal RNA (253 nucleotides) under uncultured bacterium. RNAcentral describes it as "partial 16S ribosomal RNA". It matches the Rfam family "Bacterial small subunit ribosomal RNA", at positions 524 to 776 of the family's 1533-position model. The record is from RNAcentral.
UACGAAGGGGGCUAGCGUUGCUCGGAAUCACUGGGCGUAAAGCGCACGUAGGCGGCUUCUUAAGUCAGGGGUGAAAUCCUGGAGCUCAACUCCAGAACUGCCUUUGAUACUGGGAGGCUCGAGUCCAGAAGAGGUGAGUGGAACUGCGAGUGUAGAGGUGAAAUUCGUAGAUAUUCGCAAGAACACCAGUGGCGAAGGCGGCUCACUGGUCCGGUACUGACGCUGAGGUGCGAAAGCGUGGGGAGCAAACAGG